UCCUCCUCGUUGUCUGAUCAGUACCUCUUCAGUCUUCUGUGCUCACAAUGCAGCAUCACCUCUCAGGGAAGACCUCGCCGUCCUCUCCAGCUAGAAAGCGUACAAAAAGCAAACAUGGUGACAGACCCGAGUGGCAGGGAGGGCCCAGGGAGAGGGCAGGACAACCCCGAGGAAUCAGCACGUUCCUUUGGAUCUUCUUGCCUCUGAAGUGUUUUCUUUGAAGACAUAUGUCGAUUAAAGGAAAAAAUGCAGCCACACCAAUAAGGACCUGGAAAACAAAAGGAGCCUUCUUAUUUUUGCUUUCCAGUCUGAAGCUGUCCUAGUUCCUUCCUGGUUUCUAAUUCGUAAGUAUGGGCGGUUCAACAGCGCUUGUCCACCUCCAACGGCCAGAGCCCAGAGACUUAGUUCCCCUCCCCCGCCACCCUGCCAUUCCACUACUGCUUUCUCUCUGGACACCUGGUGGGGCGGGCCCUUUGCCUCUGGGUCAGCAGCUACGAGGAGGAAGCUACUAGUAUGGCUGGUUCCCUAGACUUCCUCUUUAUUUAAAUGGUUUCUCAGUUGGAAAAAUGUAUCAGCUUUCCUCUUAAACUUUGCCUGGGUCUCAAGAUUCUGUGAAAAGGAAGGGAGCCCUGCUCUUCAAAUCCGGGAAACACCCAUUCUCCAAAAGAGGUGAUUUCUGAGCAAAUCAACAAACAGCCCAACCAGAAAGACUCACCACAGCGAUGACGUAGUUCACUGGCAUGGUCUUUCGAGUCCGCACAGCAAACACCGCAGCCCCCACCAGGAAGACGGCAGCAAACAGGUCGUUGAGAAUGUCCUGAAACCGUGGGAGAGAUGAGUGUCAGUCUGGAACAGAGCCCAGGCCCCGCUGACACCUGGCCUGGCAGAGCACACGGCUUCCUCCA
Molecule: long non-coding RNA, 905 nt
Organism: Phyllostomus discolor (pale spear-nosed bat)
Lineage: Eukaryota; Metazoa; Chordata; Mammalia; Chiroptera; Phyllostomidae
Exons: 3
Source: RefSeq, a predicted model, not a curated record